GAUGAACGCUAGCUACAGGCUUAACACAUGCAAGUCGAGCGACCGGCGCACGGGUGAUUAACACGUAUCUAACCUGCCCUUUACUCGUGGUUAGCCUUGCGAAAGUAAGAUUAAUACCCGAUAUAAAGGUUGGGGCUGCGUGCCAUUAGGUUGUUUGUGAGGUAACGGCCCACCAAGCCUUCGAUGGAUAGGGGUUCUGAGAGGAAGGUACACCACAUAGGAACUGAGAGCCGGUCCAAAAUCCUACGGGAGGAAGGAGUGAGGAAUAUUGGUGAAUGGGCGUUAGCCUGAACCAGCCAAGUAGCGUGAAGGAUGAAGGGUUAUGGGUCGUAAACUACUUUUAUAUAAGAAUAUGUAUUAUAUGAAUAAGGAUCGGCUAACUCCGUGCCAGCAGCCGCGGUAAUAC
RNAcentral lists this ribosomal RNA (406 nucleotides) under uncultured bacterium. RNAcentral's name for it is "partial 16S ribosomal RNA". It matches the Rfam family "Bacterial small subunit ribosomal RNA", at positions 28 to 526 of the family's 1533-position model. The record is from RNAcentral.